Molecule: non-coding RNA, 722 nt
Organism: Cinara cedri
Lineage: Eukaryota; Metazoa; Arthropoda; Insecta; Hemiptera; Aphididae
Source: the annotation of a GenBank genome assembly
UCCCUCCGCAUUCUUUCGGUUGUUGUUGUUGUUUUUUUUAACGAUCAGUCAUAAAAAAAAAAAAAAAGUAUAUUAGGCAUAAACAACUUGACUUAUAGGACGCACGUAUAUUAUACUCGUAUAUACGUCGCAUAGUCGCAGAAAAGACAUUUUUUUAUUAUUAUUAUUAUUAUUAUUAUUAUUAUAUAGUCAUUGUUCGAACGGUCUGAUAAGGCAAAUAUAUUAUAUUAACAUAUGCAAACAAGUGAAUGUAAUUUAUUUUGUUUUUUAAGUCGUGUUUUCGUACAUGGCAGGUACCUACCAAAGUGGUAUUAUAAGUAUGGCGUACGCCUAACACUCGUGGUACAACACGUGUCGGCAGCCGUAUCUGUUAAUAUUUUACGGCGUAUCUAAAGUAUUGAAAUUGAAUUCCAACGCAAAAAAAAAAUAAUAAUAAUAAUAAUUUAAAAAAAAAGACUAACAAUAUAUAGAUAGCGGUACAUCUAAUGUGUAUUUCAUCAUUCGGUAAAUAGGUUUUAAGUACCUACAGGUACUCAGUAUAGUAGGGCCCGGAUUUAUAUGCAUUAUAGAAAAAAAAAACUAUCGGAAAAUGCUCUAAAUCGAUCCGAAAAUGAUUUUAAAAUGUGGAAAACAGUAAAAAAUACAUAAUAAAAAUGUUGUUAGGUUUCACAGUUUCAUAUAAAUAGAACGCCAUUGACAAUCCGCGAUAUACAACAUACCUA